Long non-coding RNA from Magallana angulata, 2498 nucleotides. RefSeq lists it as uncharacterized. The transcript is spliced from 2 exons. Lineage: Eukaryota; Metazoa; Mollusca; Bivalvia; Ostreida; Ostreidae. The record is from RefSeq and is a predicted model, not a curated record.
GAGAUCUAUAAACAUUUAUAGUUUGAAGAGGGCGCGAGCAAAUAUUCUAAUGGUAGCCCCAGAGUUUUAAUACUUUAGCUUUGAUUCUACGAGAAAUGUACCCAAUUCAGGUGUCUUGCAUCAUCACCUACAUCAUAUGUAUCUAUGUUAACUCUUCUGUCGCAGUUCAGACCUUUCUUUGUCCUUGUUGUAAUUGGCAAGAUUUAGGAUCUCUUGGAAUUUUUCUAAGAUGGAACGAACCAGCUAGGUCAUAUUACAAUGGAAUGUGGGCAAAUUCAUUUGGAUCUUAAUGAAAGAAGCAUAAGCAAUAGAUUGUUCUAUCAACAACAUCAGCGGAGGCAGCACGUGCAUGCAUCGCGCCAAUCCGAACUACGCCAGGCUCCGCAAUCGAUAACUAUAUGGAAUUGAUUUUUGUAUCUAUUGCUCUCGCUGAUGGAAAUUAAUGUUUGAUGUCUCAAAGAGGCUAUACCUGAACAAGGUGGAACGGUGGGCAAUUGUUUUUAACAUAUCAGCUUUAUUAUACAGAAGAUGCCCCUCGCCGUCACAGUACGGUACGUAGCGUUAUUAAAAGUUCUAACCCCCCACAGCAACGUCUCGUGUUCACAGACAAAGCAGACUAUAGUUAGCAGAAGCGCGGGAAUCCACAGGAUAUAACACAGGGUGUGCUUUUAUUAGAUGUUAUUGUUUCUUUUUUUCUGCGCCGAGGAGUAUGGCAUUAGAUUAAUGAAUGCAAUCGUCUGCAAGAGAACAUGAUUUGAAACGUUGACGUCAUAACGUGUUUUUUGAGACAAGUUCUGCAACAAUGAAUAUGACAACACAAAUGGUGUUUACAGAUUCUCAGGACGGAAUGACAAAAAGAGAAGAGAACAUGACCAUCGUGCUCGGAAUAAUGGCGCCAAUAUUCGUGGUGGUUGUGAUGCUUGUAAUUUUGUUGUUUUCUUUUUACAAUUUUCACAAACGAUUGCAUCACAAAAAGAAACAUCACAUAGAUUACAUCAGAGCAAACCUGCCAUUGAAGCGUCCAAGAAUUUCUCCGCCCAAUAUGAACACGUUCAAUGCGUUAGACUGGAAAUCGCGUGUGACACCUGGUUCAAAGGAAACGAAAUCUUUUUCAAAACUUUCAUAUUCAAGCGUUGCUAACGAGGAUGUUUCUGACGCUGACACCGGGAACCCGGAUGUUUAUGGUGCGAGUACUGAAGAAGAAGAUUGUAGGGUGACGAUAACAGAUAACCUUGACCUCAUGAGUUCAAAGGUCAAGAAGUCAUAUGGUUCUCGAUGGAAGUCUAAUGACAAAUUCGACAAGUAUUUCUUUGAACUAGUUCCAACAAUUUGUCAACCAGAGUCGGAUUAUCUUCCAGGUGACGAAUUAUUUGGAAAAUACCUCAACACGUGAUGUUUGUUUUAAAAAUCUAAAUUCAAUUAUUGAACCAAUACUUCAGAGAUCAUUCAAGGAAAACCGAUCACGUUCAAAUUCGUUGGUUCAGUCCGAAAUGCGUCAUUUGCAAUUUUGUCCCUAGUCUGACUGAAUGACUGAACUAUGCUUCGAAUAUUUGCAUCUUUGACAACAUGUUUGUAGUGGUGGAAGAAGAAAAAAACAUGAAUAGAAUACAAAUUAAACCAUCUAGAGAGGCCAGAGUUAUGACGUUCCACGCAGAUGAGAUUACCAAAAAAAACAUUGAUGGGAUCUAUUGUUAAGACUAGCUUCGUUAGCUUGAAUUAUAUUAAAAUGAUUCAUGUUUAAUCAUGAAGGAAACUAAGGAUUGUUUUUCCUUUGCGGUAACUUAUCAAAGUGAAUAAUAAGGAAUGAUCCUAUGAUAUUAUACUGCUUAAAUACAGAAAGUUGCAUUGCAAUUUGUCUAAUGAUUGACGUCAUAAGUGAAGAGAAAGGUCUUCAAAUGUCGGCGGCCGUGGGUCUAGCUACCACUUCAUAGGAACUCGGCCAGUUUGAAGGUUUCAUUUAGAGGUUCUUAGUAUCGACUGCUUCUCUAAUGAACACAUGCAUUUCUACGCAUUGGGACUUUUAAAAUAGCUUAAAAACCACUAUAAAUUCACCAAUAAACUUCUCACAAUAAUCAUCUUGGCAUAGUAAAACUCACUUGUAUUAUGUUAAAUAAUCACUGGUUUAUUUCCAUAACCUAGAGUUAUAAGAUUCAUCAAAAUUGUAUUUGGCAAGAGACGGUCAAAUACAUGUAGCUAUAGAUCUAAAAUGUCACCGCCAUAGAUCAUCUGUUUUAUGUCGUUUUUAACCGGAUUUUCCAAAGGAAAAAUCCGGUUAUUGAAAUGUUGAAAAUGGCGGGCGGCUGUCAAAAGGGUAUACCCCUAUUGUACGGACAACUCCUCCUACAGUUUUCAAGAUAGGACGUUGAUUUCAAGAUAGGACUUUUAUUUCAAGAUAGGACACUGAUGUUUUGCUGAUCAAUUUUGCAUAUAUCAGAGAUGUGCAUACUACUUGGAUUUUCAUUCUUGAUAAUUCAAAAAAUAAAUUAAAAGCUUUUGAA